GUUGUAUGGUUAAGUGACUAAGCGUACACGGUGGAUGCCUUGGCCUUGGCAGUCAGAGGCGAUGAAAGGC
RNAcentral lists this ribosomal RNA (70 nucleotides) under Vibrio splendidus. RNAcentral describes it as "partial 23S ribosomal RNA". The record is from RNAcentral. Lineage: Bacteria; Pseudomonadati; Pseudomonadota; Gammaproteobacteria; Vibrionales; Vibrionaceae.